GCCUUACACAUGCAAGUCGAACGGCAGCGCGGCCUUCGGCCUGGAGGCGAGUGGCGAGCGGGAGAGAAAUACAUCAGAGCGCGCCCUGUUGUGGGAGAUAACUACUCAAAAGAUUAGCUAAUACCGCAUACUACCAGAAGGAGAAAGCGGGAGACCCUAAGGCCUCGCGCAAGAAGAGCGCCCGAUGUCAGAUUACCUAGGUGGUGAGGUAAAGGCCUACCAAGGAGACGAUCAGUAUCUGGUCAGAGAAGACCAUCACCCACACUGGCACAGACACACGGCCCACACCCCUACGGGAGGCCGCAGUGGAGAAUUUUGGACAGUGGGAGCAACCCUGAUCCAGCAGCGCCGCGUGUGAGAAAAAGGCCUUCGGGGUGAACAGCACUUUUGCCCGGAAAGAAAUCGCGCUGGAUAAUACCUGGCGCGGAUGACGGCACCGGAAAAAUAAGCACCGGCUAACUACGUGCCAACACCCGCGAUAAUACAUAGGGUGCGAGCGAUACUCAAAAUUACUGCGCGUAAAGCGCGCGCACGCGGAUUUGUAACACAUGCGUGAAAUCCCCGGUGCUUAACCGGGGGAAUGGCGCGUGAAUUCGCAAGGCUAGGAGUGGGUCAGAGGAGGGUAGUAUUCCACGUGUAGCAGUGAAAUGUGUAGAGAUGUGGAGGAAUAAUGAUGAAGACGGCAGCCCCGUGGGACGAGAGUGACGCUCAUGCGCGGAAGCGUGAGGAGCAAACAGGAUUAGAUUCCGUGGUAGUCCACGCCAUAAACGAUGUCUAGUAGUUGUUGGGGAUUCAUUUCAUCAGUAAAGUAGCUAACGGGUGAAGUUGGCCGCCUGGGGAGUACGGUAGCAAGAUUAAUAAUCAAAGGAAUUGACGGGGACCCGCACAAGCGGUGGAUGAUGUGGAUUAAUUCGAUGCAAGGCGAACAUCCUUCCCUUUCCUCGUCACACCACUAUUGAAGCAGAGAUGCAUCAGGUGCCCGAAAGGGAAAGUGGACACAGGUGAUGCAUGUCUGUAGUCAGCUUGUGUCGUGAGAUGUUGGGUUAAGUCCCGCAACGAGCGCAUCCUUUGUCUUUAGUUGUUUCGCAAGGGCACUCUAGAGAGACUGCCGGUGACAAACCGGAGGAAGGUGGGGAUGACGUCAAGUCCUCAUGGCCCUUAUGGGUGGGGCUUCACACGUCAUACAAUGGUGGGUACAGAGGGUUGCCAACCCGCGAGGGGGAGCUAAUCCCAGAAAACCCAUCGUAGUCCGGAUCGUAGUCUGCAACUCGACUACGUGAAGUUGGAAUCGCUAGUAAUCGCGGAUCAGCAUGCCGCGGUGAAUACGUUCCCGGGUCUUGUACACACCGCCCGUCACACCAUGGGAGUGGGUUUUGCCAGAAGUAGGUAGCCUAACCAAAGGGAGGGC
Molecule: ribosomal RNA, 1408 nt
Filed under: uncultured organism
Description: 16S ribosomal RNA
Rfam family: Bacterial small subunit ribosomal RNA
Source: RNAcentral